Molecule: ribosomal RNA, 624 nt
Filed under: Rhodotorula diobovata
Lineage: Eukaryota; Fungi; Basidiomycota; Microbotryomycetes; Sporidiobolales; Sporidiobolaceae
Description: eukaryotic LSU rRNA
Rfam family: 5.8S ribosomal RNA (bases 194-347)
Source: RNAcentral
AUUUCCGUAGGUGAACCUGCGGGAGGGUCAUUAGUGAAUCUAGGGCGUCCAACUUAACUUGGGGUCCGAACUCUCACUUUCUAACCCUGUGCAUCUGUUUUAAAAUUGGCUAGUAGCUCUUCGGGGCGAACCACCAUUUUUCACUUAUACAAACACAAAGUCUAUGAAUGUAAACAAAUUUAUAACAAAACAAAACUUUCAACAACGGGUCUCUUGGCUCUCGCAUCGAUGAAGAACGCAGCGAAAUGCGAUACGUAAUGUGAAUUGCAGAAUUCAGUGAAUCAUCGAAUCUUUGAACGCACCUUGCGCUCCUUGGUAUUCCGAGGGGCAUGCCUGUUUGAGUGUCAUGAAAUCUUCAACCCACCUCUUUCUUAGUGAAUCUGGUGGUGCUUGGUUUCUGAGCGCUGCUCUGCUUCGGCUUAGCUCGUUCGUAAUGCAUUAGCAUCCGCAACCGAAACUUCGGGUUGACUUGGCGUAAUAGACUAUUCGCUGAGGGUUCCAGACUUGUUCUGGGGCCGAGUUGGGUUAAAGGGAGCUUCUAAUCCUAAAGUCUAUUUUUUGAUUAGAUCUCAAAUCAGGUAGGGCUACCCGCUGAACUUAAGCAUAUCAAUAAGCGGGGGGAAU